AUUGAACGCUGGCGGCAGGCCUAACACAUGCAAGUCGAGCGGAUGAAGGGAGCUUGCUCCUGGAUUCAGCGGCGGACGGGUGAGUAAUGCCUAGGAAUCUGCCUGGUAGUGGGGGACAACGUCCGGAAACGGGCGCUAAUACCGCAUACGUCCUGAGGGAGAAAGUGGGGGAUCUUCGGACCUCACGCUAUCAGAUGAGCCUAGGUCGGAUUAGCUAGUUGGUGGGGUAAAGGCCUACCAAGGCGACGAUCCGUAACUGGUCUGAGAGGAUGAUCAGUCACACUGGAACUGAGACACGGUCCAGACUCCUACGGGAGGCAGCAGUGGGGAAUAUUGGACAAUGGGCGAAAGCCUGAUCCAGCCAUGCCGCGUGUGUGAAGAAGGUCUGCGGAUUGUAAAGCACUUUAAGUUGGGAGGAAGGGCAGUAAGUUAAUACCUUGCUGUUUUACGUUACCAACAGAAUAAGCACCGGCUAACUUCGUG
Molecule: ribosomal RNA, 483 nt
Filed under: uncultured bacterium
Lineage: Bacteria
Description: partial 16S ribosomal RNA
Rfam family: Bacterial small subunit ribosomal RNA
Source: RNAcentral